UUUAAAUUUCUUUAAAAUUUCUAUUGCAAU
Molecule: non-coding RNA, 30 nt
Filed under: Rattus norvegicus (Norway rat)
Lineage: Eukaryota; Metazoa; Chordata; Mammalia; Rodentia; Muridae
Source: RNAcentral